AUUCGCUCUUCAACGAGGAAUCCCUAGUAAGCACAAGUCAUUAGCUUGUGCUGAUUACGUCCCUGCCCUUUGUACACACCGCCCGUCGCUACUACCGAUUGAAUGGCUUAGUGAGGCCUUCGGAUUGAUUUUUGGAAGCUGUAAAAGGCAUCCAAUUGUUAAAAAGUUGGUCAAACUUGGUCAUUUAGAGGAAGUAAAAGUCGUAACAAGGUUUCCGUAGGUGAACCUGCGGAAGGAUCAUUAAUGACUUUUUUUAGCGAACCGAACCUUUUUCGGUGAGGUUUCGCGAAAAAUUCUUUUGUAUUUAAAACUUCCACUCUUGUAAAAAUAAAUCAAAUUAUUAAUUAUAUAAUAAAAAAAGAUCACUUUCAACAACGGAUCUCUUGGCUCUCGCAUCGAUGAAGAACGUAGCGAAGUGCGAUAAGUAGUGUGAAUUGCAGAAUUCCGUGAAUCAUCGAAUUUUUGAACGCAAAUUGCGCUCUCUGGUAUUCCGGAGAGUAUGCCUGUUUGAGGGUCGAUAAAAUAAUAAAAUCGACAUGAUUUUUUUUUGAACGUGUCGGAAUUGGGUAAUCUUUAACCUUUUUUGGUUAAAGUGACCUAAAAUUUAUCAUUUUUACUUCGGUAUGAUUACGUACUUAAUAAUUUUUUGUCGUAAAUGUCCGAACGUAAUGUUAUUAGAUGUAGCUAUGUAUUAUGAUUAUACGUCUAUAAUUUUUUUCGAAUAAUGACCUCAAAUCAGGUAAGAAUACCCGCUGAACUUAAGCAUAUCAAUAAGCGGAGGAAAAGAAAAUAACAAUGAUUCCCCUAGUAACUGCGAGUGAAGAGGGACAAGCUCAAAUUUUAAAUCUGUUAGGUUUUACCUAAUCAGAGUUGUAAUUUGAAGAAGCGUUUUCUACAUUUUUGAUUGGUCCAAAUCUUUUGGGAUAAAGUAUCAUGGAGGGUGAGAAUCCCGUCCGGCCAGAUCAUGAUGUUCUACGAUACGCUUUCAAAGAGUCAAGUUGUUUGGGAAUGCAGCUUAAAAUGGGAGGUAAAUUUCUCCUAAGGCUAAAUAUUGGCGAGAGACCGAUAGCGAACAAGUACCGUGAGGGAAAGAUGAAAAGUACUUUGAAAAGAGAGUUAAAUAGUACGUGAAAUUGUUGAAAGGGAAACGAUUGAAGUCAGUCGUACCGACGAGAAAUCAACCUUUCGAGCAUGAUCUUGUGGGUGCGUAAGAGUCUUUAUAAGCCUUUGCGUUUACAAGUUUGUGUUUCUUUGGCGUAUUUUUUCGUAUGGUUGGUUAACAUCAAUUUUGGUAAUCAUAAAAUGAUUGGAGGAAUGUAGCUCGAUUUUUUUCGUAGUGUUAUAGACUUCGGUAGAUAUGAUUAUUGAGAUUGAGGAUUGCAACGAAUACCUUUUAGGCUAUUCGCCUGAUUUCUGAUCGUUGCCUUGGUGCCGAAAGCGUGCUUACGGUUAUCGAGGUUAAUGGUCAAAAGGUUAGAACGAAUUAAAUUCGUUAAGGAUGCUGACGUAAUGACUUUAAACGACCCGUCUUGAAACACGGACCAAGGAGUCUAACAUA
This 1558-nucleotide ribosomal RNA is filed under the name uncultured Glomeromycotina. RNAcentral describes it as "eukaryotic LSU rRNA". The stretch from base 726 to 1558 matches the Rfam family "Eukaryotic large subunit ribosomal RNA", at positions 1 to 682 of the family's 3401-position model. The record is from RNAcentral. Lineage: Eukaryota; Fungi; Glomeromycota.